Molecule: ribosomal RNA, 380 nt
Filed under: uncultured eukaryote
Lineage: Eukaryota
Description: partial 18S ribosomal RNA
Rfam family: Eukaryotic small subunit ribosomal RNA
Source: RNAcentral
CAAUAGCGUAUAUUAAAGUUGUUGCAGUUAAAAAGCUCGUAGUUGGAUUUGUGGCGUACGGUGUGUUCCGGGCACUUGUUGUCUGAGUAACCUGCUGUUGCCAUCCUUGGGUGGAAUCUGUGUGGCAUUAGGUUGUCGUGCAGGGGAUGCCCAUCAUUUACUGUGAAAAAAUUAGAGUGUUCAAAGCAGGCUUAUGCCGUUGAAUAUAUUAGCAUGGAAUAAUGAGAUAGGACUUUUUUGCUAUUUUGUUGGUUUGCGCAAAGAGGUAAUGAUUAAUAGGGACAGUUGGGGGUAUUCGUAUUCCAUUGUCAGAGGUGAAAUUCUUGGAUUUUUGGAAGACGAACUACUGCGAAAGCAUUUACCAAGGAUGUUUUCAUUAA